This 253-nucleotide ribosomal RNA is filed under the name uncultured bacterium. RNAcentral describes it as "partial 16S ribosomal RNA". It matches the Rfam family "Bacterial small subunit ribosomal RNA", at positions 524 to 776 of the family's 1533-position model. The record is from RNAcentral.
UACGUAGGUGGCGAGCGUUGUCCGGAAUUACUGGGCGUAAAGCGCGCGCAGGCGGCGAUCUACGUCUGGGGUGAAAGCCCGGGGCUCAACCUCGGGAUUGCCUUGGAUACGGGAUCGCUUGAGGAUCGGAGAGGCAAGGGGAAUUCCACGUGUAGCGGUGAAAUGCGUAGAGAUGUGGAGGAACACCAGUGGCGAAGGCGACUUUCUGGUCUGUAACUGACGCUGAGGCGCGAAAGCGUGGGGAGCAAACAGG